Molecule: ribosomal RNA, 481 nt
Filed under: Ligilactobacillus murinus
Lineage: Bacteria; Bacillati; Bacillota; Bacilli; Lactobacillales; Lactobacillaceae
Description: bacterial LSU rRNA
Rfam family: Bacterial large subunit ribosomal RNA
Source: RNAcentral
AUAUAGGUUAAGUUAUUAAGGGCGCAUGGUGGAUGCCUUGGCACUAGGAGCCGAUGAAGGACGUGACUAACUGCGAUAAGCUUCGGGGAGUUGUAAGUAAACUGUGAUCCGGAGAUUUCCGAAUGGGGAAACCCAGCAGGAGUAAAGACCUGUUAUCACUGAGUGAAUACAUAGCUCAGUUGAAGGUAGACGUGGGGAACUGAAACAUCUAAGUACCCAUAGGAAGAGAAAGAAAAUUCGAUUCCCUGAGUAGCGGCGAGCGAAAAGGGAACAGCCCAAACCAGAGAGCUUGCUCUCUGGGGUUGUAGGACUGGACAUUUGAGUUACCAAGAAACGAAGUAGUUGAAUGAUUUGGGAAGAUCAGCCAGAGAAGGUGAUAGCCCUGUAAGCGAAACUUCGUUUCCUCAGCCCAGUAUCCUGAGUACGGCGGAACACGUGAAACUCCGUCGGAAUCCGGGAGGACCAUCUCCCAAGGCUAAAU